AAAUGCGAUAAGUAAUGUGAAUUGCAGAAUUCAGUGAAUCAUCGAAUCUUUGAACGCACGUUGCGCCCGCCAGCACUCUGGCGGGCAUGCCUGUUCGAGCGUCAUUUCAACCCUCAGAACCCCUUGCGGGAUCUGGCGUUGGGGAUUGGCAUCCAGCCAGCCCCGAAAUCUAGUGGCGGUCCCUCCGCGACCUCCCCUGUGCAGUAGCGAUACCUCGCAGCGGGACAGCGGUCUGACCACGCCGUAAAACCCCCAACUUCUCAAGGUUGACCUCGAAUCAGGUAGGAAUACCCGCUGAACUUAAGC
RNAcentral lists this unclassified non-coding RNA (306 nucleotides) under plant metagenome. Its description in RNAcentral is "partial contains 5.8S ribosomal RNA, internal transcribed spacer 2, and large subunit ribosomal RNA". The stretch from base 1 to 104 matches the Rfam family "5.8S ribosomal RNA", at positions 51 to 154 of the family's 154-position model. The record is from RNAcentral.